This is a long non-coding RNA of Fundulus heteroclitus (mummichog), 971 nucleotides long. RefSeq lists it as uncharacterized. The transcript is spliced from 3 exons. Lineage: Eukaryota; Metazoa; Chordata; Actinopteri; Cyprinodontiformes; Fundulidae. The record is from RefSeq and is a predicted model, not a curated record.
UUAAGAAAAUUAAUCUUUUUUAUCCUACCUAGAUAAUACAACAACUUCUGAGCAGCUUUUUUCUUAAAAUAGCACACAUUACGGACUGAGUCGCGUUAACAUUUAGACUGUGAGUACAUUUUUACUUGUUUCAAGACAAUAAGACAAUCCAUAUUAACCUGUUUUAAGAACUGACCCCAUCAUUAAGAUAUUCCAGCUAAUCAACUGUGAUUAGGUAAGAAUGUACCGGUCAGCCUGUAUCUUUGUGUUUUAAGAAAAAAACAUUAUAAUAAUCCCCUUUUUUGUAAUAUAAUACCAAGGUUCUUGAGGAGCUGAGACGAAUAGUGGCGAAGGACAACUUGCAUAAUGUGAAAGAGCUGAAGGAACGCGGGGCAAACUACAGAACCAAACUCUCCUUUUAUGGUGUCUAUAAGAAGGUCCUGAAGCCAAGGUGGGACUUCCUAGUGAUGAGCAAGCCAUUGACCUGAUCAUCUCCCUGCCAGAUAUGUUUCCUUCUGGUUACCCCGCACCAAAGAAGAUGUCAUCUCCAUCAGAGCCGCUCAUUCAUGUUCUGCAGCCCACAGAGGCCCCAGACGUCUAUCUGAGAAGACGGCCACUAGCCACACCAUUCAACCUGGUAAGAGGAGGACUGCUUCCUCUGUGCCGGAAAUGCCCCUGUUGUGUCCUUUGGUAGGAGCAGUCCUGCUGAGUCGGUCCUGUACGUCAUGGCGUACUACUACACAUUUCACAUGACAUAUCCAAAAUGUGUGUCAUCGGUUCUGUUAUUCCUUCAGACUGAGGUCUUGGGUGAUGCGAUUCAUGAGAAAGACCAAACAGCAGCUUUUAAACGUGCCAAACCUGACUGGCAGACCUUUCUUAGGUAGUGUGUAUGAGAGAUGAAUGCUCAAGUUCAUUGUUUGAAUAGUUAAGGGCAACAGGUGUGUGUGUUCAGGCCCUGUCUCGAUGCUGCAACAUCAUCUCUUCAUUGUUAG